ACCUGAUGGUUCGUGUCGUCCAUUUGUGGUACGUCAAAGAUCUUGAUUCUUGAAAAUUAUCAUUUUCCAUUGAAAUGGAAAUGAUGUACAAGAAUGUAAGUUUUUUUCAACCAAACUCCUUUUUCUUCUUUUUUUAUGUAUUUGAUAUUUUUGCGUUUUUUUAAAAUCAAGCGUACAAGUCCUGUUCAAUAAUCUAUUUUAAUUUUAUAUUUGAUAUUUGAUUUUUAAGGGUGAUCAUAUUCAAGUAUGGGUGAAAGGAAGCUAGCAUUUUAUUAUGGGAGAAACAUGUAAAAUAUCAGGUUAACUUUGUAACCAAUAAAUUAUAAUUCUUAAACGCAACAAUUAUUCGUAAGUUUUUCCUCUAUUUUAUUUUUAAUCUAUUUACCUUUUGAUGUGUGAACAUUCGAGUCAAAGGGUUCAACUGAUUUUGUUUUGCUCUUCUUUUGUUUUUUGAAAUUUAAAGGGGCCAAAAGAUCCAAAAGAAGAUGAUACGAAGAUCAAACAGUAAAGAGAAACUCCCAUAACAUUGUCAACAACUAAAGACUUAACCUCAGUUAUUGUUAGAAGAAUUGUGGUGGAAGGAUUGUGUUCGUGAUAGAAUUUAAG
RNAcentral lists this long non-coding RNA (606 nucleotides) under Trifolium pratense (red clover). Its description in RNAcentral is "long non-coding RNA (TPRA_LNC009054)". Lineage: Eukaryota; Viridiplantae; Streptophyta; Magnoliopsida; Fabales; Fabaceae. The record is from RNAcentral.